UGAGGAAUAUUGGUCAAUGGGCGAGAGCCUGAACCAGCCAAGUCGCGUGAAGGAUGACUGCCCUAUGGGUUGUAAACUUCUUUUAUACAGGAAUAAAAAGUGCCACGUGUGGUAUAUUGCAUGUACUGUAUGAAUAAGCAUCGGCUAACUCCGUGCCAGCAGCCGCGGUAAUACGGAGGAUCCGAGCGUUAUCCGGAUUUAUUGGGUUUAAAGGGUGCGCAGGCGGGUUUUUAAGUCAGUGGUGAAAUCUAGGGGCUCAACCUCUAAACUGCCAUUGAAACUGGGGACCUUGAGUAUGGAUGAAGUAGGCGGAACUCGUUGUGUAGCGGUGAGAUGCAUAGAUAUAACGAAGAACCCCGAUUGCGUAGGCAGCUUACUAAACCAUAACUGACGCUCAAGCACGAAAGCGUGGGUAUCAAACAGGAUUAGAUACCCUGGUAGUCCACGCCGUAAACUAUGAUUACUAGUUGUAUGCGAUAUGAUAGUAUGUGACUAAGCGAAAGCGAUAAGUAAUCCACCUGGGGAGUAC
This 529-nucleotide ribosomal RNA is filed under the name uncultured Porphyromonadaceae bacterium. RNAcentral's name for it is "bacterial SSU rRNA". It matches the Rfam family "Bacterial small subunit ribosomal RNA", at positions 355 to 883 of the family's 1533-position model. Lineage: Bacteria; Pseudomonadati; Bacteroidota; Bacteroidia; Bacteroidales; Porphyromonadaceae. The record is from RNAcentral.